RNAcentral lists this ribosomal RNA (650 nucleotides) under uncultured marine bacterium. RNAcentral's name for it is "bacterial SSU rRNA". It matches the Rfam family "Bacterial small subunit ribosomal RNA", at positions 80 to 726 of the family's 1533-position model. The record is from RNAcentral.
UGCUGUUUCGGAUUAGUGGCGGACGGGUGAGUAAAGUAUAGGGAUCUGCCUGACAGUGGGGGACAACAGCCGGAAACGGCUGCUAAUACCGCAUACGCUCUACGGAGGAAAGUGGGGGACCUUCGGGCCUCACGCUGACAGAUGAACCUAUAUCAGAUUAGCUAGUUGGUGGGGUAAGGGCCUACCAAGGCGACGAUCUGUAGCUGGUCUGAGAGGAUGAUCAGCCACACUGGGACUGAGACACGGCCCAGACUCCUACGGGAGGCAGCAGUGGGGAAUAUUGGACAAUGGGGGCAACCCUGAUCCAGCAAUGCCGCGUGUGUGAAGAAGGCCUUCGGGUUGUAAAGCACUUUCAUUGAGGAGGAAAAGCUAUUGCUUAAUACGUAAUAGCCGUGACGUUACUCAAAGAAGAAGCACCGGCUAACUCCGUGCCAGCAGCCGCGGUAAUACGGAGGGUGCGAGCGUUAAUCGGAAUUACUGGGCGUAAAGCGCGCGUAGGCGGUUUGCUAAGUCAGAUGUGAAAUCCCCGGGCUUAACCUGGGAACUGCAUUUGAGACUGGUAGGCUAGAGUGUGGUAGAGGUGAGUGGAAUUUCAGGUGUAGCGGUGAAAUGCGUAGAGAUCUGAAGGAACAUCAGUGGCGAAGGCGACU